CGCUGCCCUUCUUUACAGCUGAUUCUAUUUAGCAAUUAGGCCGGAGUGCUUAAGUCCAAGGAGAAAAGCAUUCCCGUACCAGAGGAACUUUUUGCUUUGCAUGCUGUUAGGUGGAUGUGUGACUGUUUAUGCUUACUCUGUGAAAAGUUUGAUCAUUUAACCUUCUCAACUUACUGUCACGGCUGCCGAGGCGAGCCGUGUGGAUUUAGAAGGAGGACCCAAGAUGCAGGCAGUGGAUGAGAUACCGGUGGUUUUAUUUACAGAGGUGUAGUGGCAAACAAACAGUGGGGCAUAACAAACAACUAAAGACACCUAAACUGGGAGAACUAAAAUAACAGACCUGGGAGCAUAUGACAACGGAUGAUGAAUAGCAGAGAGACGCAGACGAGGAACAGGACACCGUGGAACACAGGGUAACAGACUGACACGAAGGAACACAGACGAACCGGCAACAGGCAGGAGAACACACAGGGCUUAAAUACACACACCAGUAAUCAGGGGAUGAGAGACAGGAGGGCAACACAGCUGGGAGGAAUCUGGGCUGACGGGACAGGGGAAACGUAAACUGAUCACACUCACAUACGACGCGGACCUUCACAAUAAAACAGGAAACUCAGAUACAUGGAACCAGACAAGACAUUGAACUAAACAGACAGAUUCACAAACAGAUGGGGAGACACCAUAGACAGACAGAUACAGACGCAGACUCAGAGGCAGAUCGAAAAUAACACAGAACUUAAACAAUCAUCUAGAAAAUGAUAAACUAAAAGCGCUGGGUCACCGACCCAGGACCAUGACACUUACUCCAUUGUUUAGUAGCUAACUUAUGUGUUUUCUUGCUUUUGAUGGUUUUGAAAACUCUGUUUUCAGAUGUUUAUAGAAAGGGAAUGCUACACAGUAGUGAAUAUGGCCCUGUCCCAAAUUCCUUGAGACUUGUUGCUGCCAUCAAAUUCAAAAUGAGCUAAUAUUUUUCAUGAAAUUUUGGUUAGCACUGUUGCCUCACAGCUAGAAUUUCCUGACUUCAAUUCCAACAUCAGGCCGGGGUCAUUCUGUGUGGAGUUUGCAUGUUCUUCCCGUGUUUAUGAGGGUCCUCUCCGGGUAUUCCGGCUUCCUUCCACAGUCCCAAGACAUGCAGUUAGUGGGGUUAGGUUAAUUGGAAACUCAAAAUUAGGUGUGGGUGUGAAUGGUUGUCUGUGUCUAUUUGUUAGCACUGCAUCUUGCCUUAAGACAGCUGGGAUAGCCCCACCCCAAUAAAAAUAUAGGGUUAAUUUGGGGGGGGGGGGGGUCUAAUAAGCCUGUAUCUUAUUUUGAAUAAAAUAUGGGGUUAUUAGACUUACAAAUCAUUGCAUUCUGUUUUAUUUACAUUGCCUUAUAAUUAUUUUCAUUUUGCAUGAAUGCUUGUGAAUCUCCACAAUAUUUUUAUAGUGGACAAAGAUAUUACUUUUGUUAUUUCCUGAAAAUGUAUUGCUUAUGUAUUUUUAAAAUAGUCAUUAUUAGCUAGAAACAUUCAAAACGGAUGGUCCAGAUGGGCCUGGGCCCCCUUGCCCAGGUGGGUUCCAGGGUAUGGGGGUGUCUACUGGGUCAGCCGGGGAGCUGGCCCCAGGGAGGGGCCUCCCUUCCUUCCCUCCCCAUCUCCAGCUGCUUCCCUCUUCCCGCUCCACCACAAUCACCCACACAUGCAGGGCCUUGGGGUAAAGGUGUGUGGAGAUGAGGGAAAUAUUUUACUGCUACUAUUCAUAACCAUCAUCAUUUCAUCAAAGCAUUUAUUGAAGCUGUUGGCAUUAUGUUAAAACUUGUAUUACAGGUGUUAUCAUAAUCACAUAUUAACAUUUUCAUUACAGGUGCAGUUAUAAUCAUUUUAUACACACAUUGCAGGAUUGUGCUUCUAGAGAGUUGAUGUUCGGUCUAUUAAAGUUCUUAAGCUUCGCGUGGCGUGACUGUCCAGGCGAUCAAUGGUGUAAGUGACUUGGAGCAAUAGAAGGUUCAAAGCAUGCACGCUUACAAGCACACAUGAAAGUAUUGAUUCCAGGCCAAAGGCCUGAGAUACAUUUUGCUUCUAACUGCCUUUUAGCUUGCCUAGUAACAGGUGACAGAAGACAAGUCAAGAAAAGGACAAGCCCUCAGGGACCAUUUAGGCUUGCAACUUAUUGCCUUGUAUGGAAGGUGUGAUAGAAAAAGGAACUUCUUUGUCUAAUUUUAGGGGUUUAAGAUUGACCAUUUACUAUAACUGAUGCAUAUUAUGUUCAUUUGUGACGCAUGAAGGGGCGUAACCCUGAUGAAUGAAACCAUUGUGAAUAGACCUUUUCGGGGAAGAUCGAUGCUGGUGUGGCAGUAUACAUCUUCCCACGCGUGUACUCAAUAAAUCAUUGUUUGACUGAACUUUUCUGGGCCUCUGUUGGUUUGUUCCAUUGCUCAACAUUUUCGAACCCACAACAGGUAUGUCACCAGGGUGCAGGGGAGGCAUCCCCCCCUCUGUCCCCUUCUGGCUGCCUGUGCCUCAAUUUUAUCCCACAACUUAGACAUUCACAUUACUCACACUCUCAUUACACAUACAUAUAGGACCUUGGGGGUGGGCAUCCAGAAGACCAUCAGGAUGUACAACCUCACCCCUGGCGUCGUUGCCCACCUUUCAAUUUUUAAAUACACGUAUAUAUUGAGGGCUAUCAGGAGGGGCUAUGCGCUUACCUGCUGCUCUCUGGCAGGUAGCUCCAUGCCCUCCUGGGUUUUAAAUGCACCUUAGAACACACAUGCAUCAACACUACAUAUGAGCAGGUAGGCGGAGGGAGGUUUGGAGUCUUCUCACAUCCCCGUUCUCUGUUGCCUGUUGGGACGGGGAGGCUGGGAGGAGUUGACCGUUUGAUUGGGGUCUGGAAUGUGGGGCCUCCCUGCUGCUGCGGAGUCGGGGCGGUCUGCUUCUCUCCACCCCAGGGAAGAGGGUAACACUACCUGGGUCUGGGUGCAGUUUCCCCCUCUAGGGACAAGGGUACGUAGACCCAGGGCUUAGAGUACGCUUGGGGAGUGUGAUUGUGUGUACAGUGUCUAUUUAUGUCUGUCUCCACGUUGGGUGAGUGCUGAGUAAUCGCAUAUGAGAGCAUGAGGGUGGGAAUGGAUGUUUGUAUCUGUGUGUGCCUGUAUGUCUGUGUCUUUAUGUCAGGUUGGGUAUCAGACGCCAGCUCUCUAGGGACAUCUCAGGCCCUCCACGGUAUGGAGGCCUAUCUCCCCCCACCACUCCCCCUGCCAGUGGCAGACGCCCUCAGACAUCGAUGAAUUGGUGGUUCUUUGUGUCUGGGAAUGGGCGUCCAGGUACGCACGGGCUCACUCCUGGCUUGACAGGGCCUGAAGCCUGGGGCUCGCUCGGGCCCCUUCGGGGGGUGGGGUGCCCUCAGCCUCUGGGCCUGGGGCUCGGUCACUCUGGCACAGCUGGCUGCCGGCAGAGCUCACGGGCCUCAAAGCACAUAUUUAGUAUUUACUGUUAUAUUCACAUAGAUUAUCACGAUGAUGUUGUUUAUUAUAUUGCUCUUUUUUUUGUUGCUUGUUUUCUCUUUUUUCUUUCUCAACAGGUGAUCCAGGUGAUUGAUAUAUGUAUUUUUUGUCUGUUUGUUUUGUUGUUUUUUGUUUUUUGCCCUUUAUCACCGUUCCUCUUCCCUGCUGUUUUUCUUUCCCUACCUCUCUUUCUUUCUCCCUUUUAUAAAAUAAUAAUAAAAAAAGAAACAUUCAAGACAAUAAAAGUAGACAAAAUAAAUGAAAAAGGGAAAAGAAAAUCAAAACCUUCUGCACUAUAAAAGACCCACAAACACAUUUUCUAAACACUAAAACCAAAUUGUUUAUUCUGCUAACAGUUUGGUUUCUGUCUUAAGAUUUUCAGCUCUUCAGGUUUCAUAGAGGUACAAACUCUUUGUAAUUAACUUUAAUCAAUGAAAUCAAAAUGACCAAACAAUAAAGGACAACAAGGAAAAAAGUUAAAGUGGGCAUGUUUUGCAAAAUAAAAUUUAAAUUUAAAAGCAAUUGUUCUCAAAUUAUGAAAAUAUAUAUGAUAUGUAAGGUACAUUAUGGCAUAAAGAUUAAAUGUGACCUAUAUUAAGAUAACUCAAUGAUAAAGGGUGGUACACGCAGGGUAUGGCUUUGUUUUUUUGCAUAAGUUUUCUGAAAUCACACACACUUACUCUGAACCUCUUUUUUUCAUGUAAUUUAAGUCAAGUCAGAAUCUUAAACUAAGCUAUAUACAAUGGACUUACAAAGGCUGUUACCAGUGUCAUGUAAUACUAAACAGUGGUCUAUUUACAAUUUAAGAAAAAUGUUUUAAUAAAGCCUCC
This is a long non-coding RNA of Astatotilapia calliptera (eastern happy), 4313 nucleotides long. NCBI's taxonomy places the organism in Eukaryota, Metazoa, Chordata, Actinopteri, Cichliformes, Cichlidae. The record is from Ensembl.